AAACAUCGAUAGCGCACUACACCUGCUAUCCGCCUGGGAACUACGAGCAUCAGCUUGAAACCCAAAGGACUUGGCGGUGCUUUAGUACCACCUAGAGGAGCCUGUUCUAGAACCGAUAACCCCCGUUCAACCUCACCCCUUCUUGUUUAUCCCGCCUAUAUACCGCCGUCGUCAGCUUACCCUGUGAAGGAAAAAUAGUAAGCAUAAUUGCACAGCCCAAAACGUCAGGUCGAGGUGUAGCGCAUGGAGGGGGAAGAAAUGGGCUACAUUCCCUAAUGUAGUGAAUACGAACGAUGCACUGAAAAGUGUGUCUGAAGGAGGAUUUAGCAGUAAGCAGGAAAUAGAGUGUCCC
This 352-nucleotide ribosomal RNA is filed under the name Ammodytes tobianus (small sandeel). RNAcentral describes it as "partial 12S ribosomal RNA". It matches the Rfam family "Bacterial small subunit ribosomal RNA", at positions 801 to 1360 of the family's 1533-position model. Lineage: Eukaryota; Metazoa; Chordata; Actinopteri; Uranoscopiformes; Ammodytidae. The record is from RNAcentral.